Sceloporus undulatus (fence lizard) is the source of this 404-nucleotide long non-coding RNA. RefSeq lists it as uncharacterized. The transcript is spliced from 3 exons. Lineage: Eukaryota; Metazoa; Chordata; Lepidosauria; Squamata; Phrynosomatidae. The record is from RefSeq and is a predicted model, not a curated record.
CACUCCUGUGAUGUGUCAGUUCUCCUUCUCAGGUGGCUGCUGUUGCCUCCAAGUGCUCCACUGUGCAGAGCCAGGCCACAAGGAGGAAGCCACUGUGACUGCCUACUUCCAGGAAGGAGAGGCACCAUUAGAUCUCCCUCAGGAACCUCGCUCCUCUCUACCAUCAUGCAGUUCUUCAGCAAAUACAGUCUUCUUCAGCUGUCAUCAUCAACCUACCUCUGAAAAUUAAAAAAAAAACACAAUAAUUCCAUCAGCCGGAGCAAGAGACGGGCAAGCGGUUCUCACACAAAGCUGUCUCCCCCAUCAUCCUGCUUCACCCUCCUCUCCCUGACUGUCAGCACAAGGUGGUAUUGGGCCAGAUCCAGGGAGAAGAUUGUGUCUGCAUACAAAAUACUCCAAAAACC